UAUCAUUAAAAAUGCGUGUAACUAAGUGGGUGUAGUUGUUGUUGUGUGGAAAUUUGGAAGACUGCAUUAAGUUUACAUUUCUCGAUAAUUUAUUUUAAUAUAAAGAGUAAAAUAUAAGUAAUUUUAUUUACACGUUCUGUCGAGUCAAGUGAGGCAUAUAAGUAAUAUUGCACAAGGGAAAAAUGAUUUUCCGGGUAUACAAAUUACGAACCACAUUGGACUCAUUACUAGACAUAACUUUUUAAAGUUAUACAUAUAUAGUGUAUGCAUAGUUAUACAGCUGCGAAACCUGGAUAGUAAGCACAAUCUAGAAGAGAAUGAUAGAAGAAUUUGAAAUAUGAUUUCACUGUAAGAAACUUAAGAUUUCAUGGUUUGACAGAAUAAUAAUUGAAAAAGUUUUAAGAAGAAUUAAGGCAAAUUUGAAUCGUAAUAUUUUAAUUAGAUACUAAACCAGGAAUCAUGAAAAUGUAUUGUAGUUUAUUAUUCGAUAUUAAAUAAAAGGUAAAAUUGGAAGAGGAAGGCCGCGUAUGGAAUGUAUACCGCUAAUUCUCAAUUACACGGUAAUGAAAAAUUAUCGAGAGCAGAAGGAUUUGAAUUUUGAUAGAAAAGCAUGAAAGACUGUAAUAAACCAAUCGAAAUAUUGAAGACCAGAUGAAGAAAAAGGAGGAGAAGAAAUCAGAAGUGCACGUUAACUGCAUUCAGUUUACAUUUUUCAGUUAUUUAAAUAAAGAAAAUAAUGAUUAAAAAUUAAUGCUGAUAAAACCAAAAUAAGGGGCAACUUAAAAGCAGUGAAUAUUCUAAAAAUUGAAAGGGCUAAUACACGAAAAAGUCCAUGAAUUCAAUGUACUCGAGUAAUAUACUCUUAGUGUAUACUUUGGUACGAUAUGCGCGGAAAAUGACUGGACUAAAAAAAUAGAUAAGACCGAAAAGUAAAUUUUGCGUUAACAAAAUACUUUUAAUUCAAACUAUUCUUUAGGAAAACUUAAGUAAGACUAUACAUAGCUAUAAUAAUACAAAUGCUUGCAUUCAUAAUUUGCAUAACACCCCAAUAAACAGUUAUUUUAAAGAGCAAAGACAAUAGCUAGGCGGCCAUAUGAGUGAAGAGAAAAGAGGAAACUGACACUCCGUCAAAGCAGCACUAGAAUAAAUACUAUAAUGAAUAAAAUUGUAAAAUACAGGGAAAGAUAUUUGUGAAAGGCUGGGAAGAGUUACGCGACCAAACAGGACUUAAGAAAUUUGAACGAAAGAGAUAAAUGACGAGAUAUAUUUUUAGUAGUAGUAAAAUAUAAGCAAUUUUAUUUAAACAUUAUAUCGAAUCACAUUAGUGUGUCAAUGCGUGAGUUUAUGUUAAAAAUACGGUUCAUAGGAAGAACUCGUAUGUAUUGACAAGUGGUCUGAUUUCAAAAUAUAUUUUGUGAAAAAGAACAAGAUUCAGUUUUACAAAUCGUAUUAGACUUUAAGGACGUAUAAGACGUAUUGAACGUAUAGGUAACGUAUUUUAAAUUAUUCAGGCGUUUAAACCAACUUAACUUUUAGGUUGUUCGGGCAUGUCACGAGACGCGAAAAAUCUGAAGCAGCAAGAAUUGCAAUAAAAAUAAACGUAGGAGAAAAUGUGGCAAGGAAAAUCAAAAAGAUGUGGUUGGACAUAAUAUAGAACAGCCGGUUGGAGAUCAAGACGAGUGAAAUUUUAGAACGAAGUUGACCGAUCCCAAAAACGUGUAGUUGGGUGAAAGCAAAAGAGAAGAAGACAUUUAGCAAUAUAAAUUCUUAAAUGUACAUUUUCAAAAUUCAAGACCAACGCUGUUUGUAAGAAGUUUUUUCUUUUUUUCAAAUCACCAAUAAAAAAUACCCAAAUCAAUUUAUUCUCGAAAGUGAAGCAAAUUUGUGUACAAAAACGCGUCGGCUCCGAGACAUUAUUAAUAUUUUAUGCAAUAUGAUCAGCUGGUAUUAUUUUUGAAUAUUGUCGCAUUUUAUCAUGGGAAUAUAUUGUAAAAUUCAACACUGCAUAAUUGGGAUUAUCAUAAAAUAACAUCCAGUUAUAUUUAACGACGGUUCUGAACUGAAAUUAACAAACAUUUUGAUCGUUACCAAGCAUUGAUUUUACAAGUACGACUCUACAAAAAUAGAAAGGCCAAAAAUAUUAUGAUUUGUUAAUGGUUAGAAGAUCAUCGAUUUCGUCCAACUAUUUACCAUAAUUUAUAACAUUUUCCCGGACUGAUUAAAUAUUAUUCGUCGUAUUUUACUAGUAGUGAUCAAAACCAAGACCAAUACACAAACAGUCAAUUUUUCGCGUAUUUCUCGUACGUUUCAUAUUCAUUAAGAACGCUGCAGAAUUAUCUACAGCGUUUUAACUACACCACGUACGACCAUUGUUGCCAUACGAGUACAUGUGUUAUUAUUUAUUAGCAGGGCUCAUAACUUGUGUAGCAUUUGCAUAUAUAUUUUUUUUUAAUGCUCAUAGAGAUACCUAUGUGUGCCAUAAAUUUGUUUCAGAAAACCACGAAGCUAUAUACAAAAGUUUAUGUUGCAUGUGUUGUGAAGUUUAUGUGUUAUUUUGCAUUUGUUGUGUGUUAGUCGCUAUUUCAAUACCGUUUAAGUGCUAUUUUGCUUCGUUUGUGUGUUCAGCGGUAUUCCAAUACCAUAGCCAUCAAAACAUACUUAAUAACAAAAAUAAUUUAAACAGUCUUAAAUAUCUUCAUGUUUAUUUCUUUCUAUUACAGCAUCCACUGCCACUCCCAACAAUAAAGGAACGAUAGCCGUACGCGGUGUAGAUAAAAAUGGGUGAACUAUAACUAUUAGACGACUAGUGCCCUCGGUAUAUAACAGGGGCGAUAACACUCUUGAAAGUUCUUGAUAAAUAAAGAGCGUACAAGAAAAUACCAACGUGAGUCGUGAAUGCCCGUCAACGUUAUUUGUCGUCGCCGCAAACGGUUGGUCAAGUUCUUUGUACGGAAAUCUUACAGUCUUGCUUUAUUUACAAGGUUCAUAAAAAAAAUUAAAUGCCUGAUACCUAUAAGGGUUAGUAUUCUAUUUAUCAUCUCAAAAAUGAGAUAACUCUACAAGAUGAAAAUAUAAAUGUGAUUUAAAUUGAUCCAUGUUAUUUUACGCCGAACCUAGAUGCAAUAAAAUGAUACCCAUCAUAAUAAAACCCUAUUUUAAAUAUGAUCUUAUAAUAUAAGUUUUUAGACACAUGUGAUCGAUGGUGUAAAUAAAUAUUGUUGCUAAUAUUGCGUUUUUGAAUAAUUGAAUCCUAAACUUUUUUCUCCUUGAUCGUCGCCAGGACAACGUGGUGUGGGAUUAUCCAAGUUGUUCAGAUAGUUCACUAGGUACUAAAAUAAAUAUUGCACAGUCUUAUCUGGUUUCCAAUAUUUGGUCUUACCCUAAACGUCAUUCAAAAAUAAAGAUAUUUGUAAUAAUAGUAGUUUAAGAAAAUAAUAAUAAUAAUAAAAAAGUAGUAAGACUGAAAGAAUCUUAAGGUAUUGGACUUGUUUUGAUCUCGGUCUUGGUUUUGCUGGUGUGGUCUUAAUCUGGCUGCAAAAUUAAGACAUUUGUAUUAUUUAUUUUGUUUUUAACCAAAUAGUUAGGUAUGGAUGUUAGGACACUUUGUAUAAUAAUUAAAAAACGAUGAAUAUUAUUUACCCGAUUACUUAGAUUAACUGAUUUGUAAUACUUAAAAUGUGAUUUAUUUAUUUUUUUUUUUUUUUUUUUAUUUGUGUAUAACUAUUUACCUAUUACCAAACAAUUUUUAUUAUAUUGAUUUUUCCAUUUUACAUACUUAAUUAUCUC
Molecule: long non-coding RNA, 3786 nt
Filed under: Cinara cedri
Lineage: Eukaryota; Metazoa; Arthropoda; Insecta; Hemiptera; Aphididae
Source: RNAcentral